This 160-nucleotide ribosomal RNA is filed under the name Lodderomyces parapsilosis. RNAcentral's name for it is "Candida parapsilosis 5.8S ribosomal RNA". It matches the Rfam family "5.8S ribosomal RNA". Rfam says of the family: 5.8S ribosomal RNA (5.8S rRNA) is a component of the large subunit of the eukaryotic ribosome. The record is from RNAcentral. Lineage: Eukaryota; Fungi; Ascomycota; Pichiomycetes; Serinales; Debaryomycetaceae.
AAACUUUCAACAACGGAUCUCUUGGUUCUCGCAUCGAUGAAGAACGCAGCGAAAUGCGAUAAGUAAUAUGAAUUGCAGAUAUUCGUGAAUCAUCGAAUCUUUGAACGCCCACAUUGCGCCCUUUGGUAUUCCAAAGGGCAUGCCUGUUUGAGCGUCAUUU